RNAcentral lists this ribosomal RNA (411 nucleotides) under uncultured Dialister sp. RNAcentral describes it as "bacterial SSU rRNA". It matches the Rfam family "Bacterial small subunit ribosomal RNA", at positions 143 to 525 of the family's 1533-position model. The record is from RNAcentral. Lineage: Bacteria; Bacillati; Bacillota; Negativicutes; Veillonellales; Veillonellaceae.
ACGACAGACGGAAACGACUGCUAAUACCGAAUACGAUUCUUGAGUCGCAUGACACAAGAAAAAGAAAGGGUAGGCCUCUACUUGUAAGCUAUCGCCUGAAGAGGGGUUUGCGUCCGAUUAGGUAGUUGGUGAGGUAACGGCCCACCAAGCCGACGAUCGGUAGCCGGUCUGAGAGGAUGAACGGCCACAUUGGAACUGAGACACGGUCCAGACUCCUACGGGAGGCAGCAGUGGGGAAUCUUCCGCAAUGGGCGAAAGCCUGACGGAGCAACGCCGCGUGAGUGAAGACGGCCUUCGGGUUGUAAAACUCUGUGAUUCGGGACGAAAGAUAAGUAGACGAAUAAUCUGCAUAAGUGACGGUACCGAAAAAGCAAGCCACGGGCUAACUACGUGCCAGCAGCCGCGGUAAAU